AGCUCCUACGGGGGGCAGCAGUAGGGAAUCUUCCACAAUGGACGAAAGUCUGAUGGAGCAACGCCGCGUGAGUGAAGAAGGGUUUCGGCUCGUAAAGCUCUGUUGGUAGUGAAGAAAGAUAGAGGUAGUAACUGGCCUUUUUUUGACGGUAAUUACUUAGAAAGUCACGGCUAACUACGUGCCAGCAGCCGCGGUAAUACGUAGGUGGCCAGCGUUGUCCGGAUUGAUUGGGCGUAAAGGGUG
RNAcentral lists this ribosomal RNA (243 nucleotides) under uncultured bacterium. Its description in RNAcentral is "partial 16S ribosomal RNA". It matches the Rfam family "Bacterial small subunit ribosomal RNA", at positions 334 to 569 of the family's 1533-position model. The record is from RNAcentral.